GUUCGGUUGGGGUAAACUUUGCGAAAGCGAAGGACGCUAAAGUCAUGGGUCUAAGGCUAAUUUCAUUCAUUGAAAUUACGCUAGGAUCGCCAGACUACAAGC
Molecule: non-coding RNA, 102 nt
Filed under: Desulfosporosinus sp.
Lineage: Bacteria; Bacillati; Bacillota; Clostridia; Eubacteriales; Desulfitobacteriaceae
Description: c-di-GMP sequence
Rfam family: c-di-GMP-I riboswitch aptamer
About the family: GEMM was predicted in a large-scale screen for bacterial structured RNA regulatory elements. Genes associated with GEMM are involved in a diverse array of functions, including chemotaxis regulation, signal transduction, secretion and chitin.
Source: RNAcentral